RNAcentral lists this ribosomal RNA (468 nucleotides) under uncultured bacterium. RNAcentral describes it as "partial 16S ribosomal RNA". It matches the Rfam family "Bacterial small subunit ribosomal RNA", at positions 28 to 507 of the family's 1533-position model. The record is from RNAcentral.
GACGAACGCUGGCGGCGUGCUUAACACAUGCAAGUCGAACGGAAAGGCCCUGCUUUUGUGGUGUGCUCGAGUGGCGAACGGGUGAGUAACACUUGAGUAACCUGCCCUUGACUUUGGGAUAACUUCAGGAAACUGGGGCUAAUACCGGAUAGGAGCUCCUGCUGCAUGGUGGGGGUUGGAAAGUUUCGGCGGUUGGGGAUGGACUCGCGGCUUAUCAGCUUGUUGGUGGGGUAGUGGCUUACCAAGGCUUUGACGGGUAGCCGGCCUGAGAGGGUGACCGGCAACAUUGGGAAUGAGAUACGGCACGGAGUACUACGGGAGGCAGCAGUAGGGAAUAUUGCACAAUGGGCGGAAGCCUGAUGAAGCAAGGCCGCGUGCGGGAUGACGGCCUUCGGGUUGUAGACCGCUUUCGCCUGUGACGAAGCGUGAGUGACGGUACUGGGUAAAGAAGCACCGGCUAACUACGUG